This 4590-nucleotide long non-coding RNA is filed under the name Sus scrofa (pig). Its description in RNAcentral is "lncRNA (ENSSSCG00015044822.1)". The record is from RNAcentral. Lineage: Eukaryota; Metazoa; Chordata; Mammalia; Artiodactyla; Suidae.
UGGGUACCCGGAGCUAAUGAAUGGACUGCUGACAUGGUUAAGCAGAAUCUUCAAGAGAUGGAGAGGCCUCGGGCUAGUAACAGCUGAAGGUUCUGUCUCCCCUGGGCCUGAAGAGGGAGGCUGGAGGGGUGGCCGGAUCAGAGCGGCCAUCCCGGGAGGUAAGAAGGAGUAAGAACUAACAUGUACCGGGUGCUACGAUGGCCAGCACUGUUCUAAACCCAUGAAUGCAUCUGAGCCACAUUUAUGGGGGGGCGGGUAUUACUGUUUAACCCAUUUGGCAGAUGGGAAAGCGGAGGCCCAGAUUCCCUUUUUCGAGAUCCCACAGUGGGGGUGGGCCCUCACUCUCCUUUGACCCUCUAAUCUCGUGCCAGAGGGUGAGGACACCGGCAGAGACCAUCGUCAAGGGUGGCAGAGCGCAGUGGAGAAGGGCAGAGAGUGGCUCUGCCGGGCAAAGGGAGGCGAUCCUACACAACAGGCAAUUAAGUGGGAGCAGCUGUUGCUGCUGCUACUAUUAUUGACAUCGUCCUUGUUGUUGGAUCAUCAAAGCAUGGGACCAGGCCCGGCUCCCGUCGGGCUCAGAUAUUUUCCAGUGGACUGAAUGAACCACUGUCCUAUUGACUACAUGGGAUCGCUACGUCAGUUGGGCCCUAAAUAGUAGAUUUAUUGAGUGGUGUAAUUGCAAAUAGUCUCCCUUUACGCUUCUGGUAGCAUAGGAAACGUUUCACUCCUGAGAGUUUUAAUGCUAUCACAUGCUUGUUGACUCAGUGAAUUCUUUUUGACAUUUAUUCAGGAUUUCCAGACUGUGUAGGAAGGAAAGCAAACCGCUGCUAUCAAUGUUAUAGGGCGAAAUAGAAAAAUAGGAUGUUUCCAUUUGGAUUGAAACGUUAGGCACUCGGAGGGGGCCUUUGAAUUUAGGUUGAGAGUUUAACACUCUCUCCUGAGACCGACCGCCCAACCUGGAAACCACAGGCGAUGCCCUGCCCCAUGGGCACCCCGUGGUCAGGAGCGAGGUCUUAGUGCUGACACACAGGGCGUAGGGCUGACAGGGUAUAGCAGGCUGGGCUGGCCAUCUAAGGCUCAGGAAUAAGAGCCGAGGAUCACUCUGCUUUUUCCCAGGCCAGGCCUUGUACCUGAGACGUUACACAGCUUGCUCAUUCAAUUCCGCUAACAACCUUCUAGGAUGGGUUCUGUUAUUAGCCCCACUUUGCAGAUGAGGAAACUGAGGCACAGGGAGACCAAGUAAUUUGCCCAAGGUCACCCAGGUGGUAAGUGGAAGACCCCCAUUUCUUUUAUUUUUCUUUCUUUUUUUGCUUUUUAGGGGUGCACCCAUGGCAUAUGGAGGUUCCCAGGCUAGGGGUCCAAUCGGAGCUACAGCUGCCAGCCUACACCACAGCCACAGCAACGCGGGAUCCGAGCCGUGUCUGCAACCUACACCACAGCUCAUGGCAACGCUGGAUCCUUAACCCAGUGAGGGAGGCCAGGGAUCGAACCUGCGUCUUCAUGGUUCCCAGUCAGAUGCGUUUCUGCUGCACCACAACGGCAACUCUGGGAGACCUUCUUUCAACUGCAGUGCUUAUCGUCUCUUGGAGAGAGAGUGGAGCUGAGGCCCUGGCUUCAGCCCUCUCAUUUUCACAAACGAGGCUCAAACAGUGAUUUGUCCAAAGGCACCUAGUCUUGUUAGCAGGAGAAUUCAGAUGAGUCUUCAUGACCGCUCCUGACUGAACCAUCCUGUCCCCCUGGGGGAAGAUCACUUACUUUUUUUUUUUCAUUUACUUACUCAUCUGGAAAAUGGGGCCAGUGAUUAUACCUUUAGCGCUUUUAAGAGACACGAUCAUUUCUGCCAUGACUUAGACACAGGGAGACACCUUGAGUAAACUGCAGGGUGCCAGGCAACAACAACAGUACUGAUAAGUAAUAAUAGCAUGUCUGGAGCCCUGGUUCUGAUCUGGAAAGUUCAAAGCUCUCAUCUGCCAACCUCUGUGAUUCCUCACGCAUAAUCCAUAAUUCUCACCACCCUCCUUUAGGUUGACAUUGGAAGAAUCCGUUACAGAGAGGCGAGUACCUUGCCAGGUUACCAGAGCUAGUGACGGAGUACCCGUACCUGACCCGUCUGGGCUGGUGGAAACCAGUAGCUGUAUCAUCAACAAAUAGAGUCAAUGCUGCCUCUUAUGUUGCACAUGUGCUUUCUCAAGCAAACCAUUUCUUCAUAAAACCUGAAUCUGAAAAGGGCACUGGUCUUUCUUGCAACAUCCUAACAGAGAUGGUGACCAGUGCCCUUCCUGGCAUCUUCUAGGAUAAGACACAGAAAGAUGCGACGUUCUUGGAGAGGAAUAUCAGGGCCCCAGAAACUCAGCCUCCGGCUGUUGUAUCCUCACAGAUAGGGCACAGGUGUCUGACGUGGCUGGAGGAGCACAGACCCAAAGGGGCCAGAAAGAAGAGUUGAGAAACAGACCUCCCCAGGGAGAGAACACUCAGGCCUGUAUAAUCCCUUGCUGUCAUUAGUUAUGUCCGCUGCCAGGGAUCUUAGACAAGUGACCUCAGAAGCCAUCCUGGGCCCAUGUGACCUGAGCCACAUCCUUUGGUGCCAAACAUGUCAGCCGCAGAGCCCAAAGCUUAAGAGCAGGCCCUGGAGCGAGGCAGAGGUGACUUUGAAUCCUGGCUCCAUUCUUUUCCAGCUGUGUGGCCUGAGACCUUUCAUCAUCUGUAAAGAGAGGUGGUCAUUCUUUCGACACCAUCCAGUCUUUCUGAAAGUUAAGAGAAAUCCUAUACUUAGAGAAGUCACCACCAAAAGAACUAGAAAACAGAAAGGGUUGCCUUUGGGGAGUGUUCGUCUGUUUGGCGAGGAGUGGGUAGGUUUUAUUUUAAGCUGGUGGCUUUCAUUAUAAAACUUUGUAGUAUUUGAGCUCUUGACCAUGAUCAGUGCAUUUCUUUGUUAAGAAUAUUUUAAAGCAUUUUAAGAGAUCAUGUAAAUCAGCACUGUGCACAAUUCCUGGCAAACAGUAAGAGCUUAAUAAAUGCACGCUGGUAAUGUCUGUGUAUCCUGAUGACUCGCCAUCACUAUUGUCUGGAUGCUUGAGGAAGGGAGGCAGGGGUGCUGUUUCAGUGAAAGCAUAUGGGCUAAGUUCCUGGGGUGUCUGGACUCACCCCCGUUCUGUUCACACCUUUACCUGUGGCUUAAAUGAAGACCUAAAUGCCACCCUUAGCAGCCACCCAGUCUUGGAACUUACGUUGCUACAAGCUACAAUGACACAUAAAGACCCUUUCCCUGUAAAACCUCAGUUUCCUCAUCUGUAAAAUGGGAGGUAGUACCACCUGCCUUGUUGGCUUGUUUUGAGGAUUAAAAGGGACAAGGUAGGGAGAAUGCCAGGCCCCGGGCCUGAGACCUUGCACGCAUUCAGGCAGCAGUCACUAUCUUCUGGCUGUGGUCAGAGAUAACAUGAAGCCAGGAGAGAUAGGGACCAUGCCGGGUGAUAGAGACAGUGUCCUGGAAGAUCUCAGUGGACAAGAAAAGGAGCCCAGGCUAGCAACUUGCACAACAGCGUCAAGUCCCACAGGAGCAGGGGAUGGACCCCUGAGGCAUCGUAGAUCCCGGGUAGGGAGGGUCCACGGACGUCAGGUCCAGGAGGGACCGGCAGCCGGAGGAGGGUUGUAGAGAUGUAACAGCCUCGAUAGCAGAGUGGCGUCCAGAGAGGGAGAACCAGUAACAGCCCUUUUCCCCCAUCACAGACCUCAUUGUAGAAUCGUGCUCAGUUUGCAGGGUUGCAUGUAGAGUGGACAUUCACAAAGUAAUAUGUCCAGGAGAGUGGCCAGGAUUGUAGACAGUCUGGAACCAGGGAACACGGGGCUUCACUUGAUAAAAUGGGGAAUUUUGGCAUUGGAGUUUUAGGGGUCCAUAAACGGCAGACCCCUGUUACUGGAUUGAUGGAGAGGCCAGGUUCCGGAUUGAUAGAGAGAGGCACAGGGUCAGACAGUGUGAUUAGAAUACGUUACUGGUGAGAAGUUUUUCUAACACUCCCCGCCCUGCCCUCCAUGCCAAAAGGGUUCAGUAAGGGAACUCCAAGUCUGCAAAGAGACGUGCUCCAGGUCAUUGCCACUCACUGAGCAGGAGGAGACAGAACAGGCAAAGAGGCUGCAUCUCUGAUGCUUGCGGAUUCACUUUACCAAGUCAAGGAAUAGACCAGGGACCGUCACCUGCCAACAGGUGCUCUACUCCACUUCCAGGGGCAGAGGGGAGGCACGGGGUGGGGGGGCGGUGUGAAAGCAGGUCCAGGUAUCUAGCUAACUGAGGAUGCUUCCCCAGGGAAGGAAGACAUGUGAGGGGGAAGAAUUACCCUUCCCAUUUAGGAACGCUGCCAGAAAUCGCCCUUGCUAGUGUGCAGAGUGCUCUCCAUUCAUUCACUCCUCGAAUCCUCAAAUCUUUAUUGCUCACUUCUUAUGUGGCAGGUGGUCUUCCAGGCUCUUGGGGAACGAAACAGCGAUUCCUGCCCUUGUGGAAAUUACAUUCUUGGUCUCGGGAGAGACUAAGACAAUAAGCAAUAAUCAUGAUAAAUAAGGAAAUUAGGUACUCUGCUAGACAGUGAUACUUGCUAU